Molecule: non-coding RNA, 5051 nt
Organism: Sus scrofa (pig)
Lineage: Eukaryota; Metazoa; Chordata; Mammalia; Artiodactyla; Suidae
Source: RefSeq, a predicted model, not a curated record
CUAGGCCCCGCCUGCUCUAUUUAAGUCGCGGGACUCAAUAUGGCGGCGCGCGCUCGGCCGCUUGACCCCGGUGUCCCCUAAAGCGGGUAAGGGAUGAAACUUUCUCAUCUCGAGUCAUGCUGUUUUCGGAAACGUAGGGAUGCGUUUUAAUUUCUAUGCGCCACCCGUGGGUCGGCCCUCACCUGCGAGUCGGCUGACCGUGAACGACCCUCACUUGCUGUGCACCGGAAGGGCUUGGUCUUCUUGGCCUCUGUUUCCCGGAAGUGGUUUCCCUCCACCUCCUCAGGAGGGCCGGCCUUCCCUAAGGGCGGAGUCUAGGGCUUCUUUGGGACUGAAUAUGCAUUAGCUUUUGGAAGUCCAGCUUUGAUUUUCCCCUAAGCAUUGCUACAAAGGCCGGACUGCGGCUCUGGGCACCGUUCACAUCCUCGGCCGCCUUUGGCUUUGUGACCUUGGGCCGGUUGUAUAAGCUCUCUGAGCUUCCCAGGUGACUUCUCUGCAAAGUGGGCUGGUAACGCCCGAGUUGGUGCUAAAUCCUAAAGUUCAUGCUGCGAACCGGGCCCUCAGCAGAUCAGCCUCUGUUUGGUCUGGUGGCAGGCCCCACGGGCUCCUGAGAGACGUGAGAAGCAGCUUUGUAUGGGAGCCACCUCUGCUCGCGUUUCCACCCAGAAUCAAAGGACUGACUGACCAUUCUUUCAAUCCCUAAGCGGUGUCUUUUCUAUCUAAUCCUAAUAACCAAGCCUGGAGGAAUUGUAGACUUUCUGGUUGAAGGUUCAACAGGUCUCCUCGUUUAAGGAUAGAGUUAAGUCUCAGUGAAGCUACAGAGGAGAAUCUGAAAAAUGCAAAUGUUACUACCUUAACGGAAAGAGGGAGGAGGGGGCGCUUUCCUAAAUGGCCUUUACCUUGGACCUUUUCUUUCUCCUGGCAUUUGGGCUGCCAGGGAUCUUGCUUCUGCCCCACCAACACACUGAAAGCAAGAGCUCUUGACGUGAUGACUAAGGAAAAGAAUUUGGUUUUCAUUUGGAGACAGCUGAUUCUGAAGCCAUCUUAAAGCCUAAGCAUAGCACAACUGCAUUCAUGAUUCUAUGAAUUCUUUCCUACCAUUGGAACUUAGGGAAGGGGAGAGGAAGUGUGCAUCUAGGAAAUGUGGAAGGACAAGCUCUUCGUUCUUUCAUCCUUCCGCUGCCUUCUAACUCUGUGGUCGAGUGUGGUCUUCCCAGGAGAGCAUCUUCCAGGAAACUUAUUAGAAAGGAAGAACCCCAGGCCUCAUUUCACAUCUGAAGCAGAGUCUGCCUUGUAGCCGACUCCUCAGCCAUUGCUAGGCAUGCUAAAGUUGACAAGGCCCUGGUUUAACUCCUGGGGUGGUCUGGUUUAAAGUGAUGAGAUGGCAUCAAAGAUGACGGAAGGACAGAGUCCACAGAGCCAGAAUUUGGGGCAGUGGAGGCAGAGCACCUAUUUCCUGCAUUUGGGCACUGCCAGCAGGUUGAUUCAGAAGAUGGGUGAAAAAUUUGUUCCUGGGGUAGCAGGAGGAGCACCACGACUUUGGAAUCUUUUGCUUAAAAGAAGGAUGAGCUCGGCUGUUCAUACCAUACAUCCCGGAGGUCUUCAGCAAGGUGAGGUUCCUCUGACCAAGAAGCCGGCUGCCCAGAUGCACUAAGCACUAAGCAAUAUGCCUCCCUCGCAUAUUCCGGAUUUGCUGGCUGGCUGAUCUCCAAGCUUGUCCAUCAGCCAGAAAGCAUGUAUUCUGCAAAUCACAACUGGAAAUCAUCCCUGGAGCCAGGCCAGGCUGCCCGUUUCGGAAGAUAAAGUGUGCUCCACGUGGGAAUCACAGCGACAGAAUGGAUGUGUUUUAUUUUUCAUAAUGCUUGAGCCGUAAAUGUGAGCUAACGAGAGAGAGCGCCUGUCAAAUACCUCACAGGUUAGGUGGGUAGUGGACAUGCCAAAUACAGUCCUUUCUCUUCUUCUUGUACCUCUUUUCUCCCUUCACUUUGCAAGUGAAGACGUAACGUGUUAGGGAUGGUUACCUAAAGCUUCUGAAAGGUCGUCAGUACGACACGGGGCGUGUGUGUGUGUGUGUGUGUGUGUGUGUGUGUGUGUGUAUAGGAUUACAGUGUCUAAUGGUACAUUUCCUGGGGACUAAGUUUAAGCUAUGCAAAAUGACAAGAGCAGUCUAAUGAUCACAAUGUAACACGCUGUCAAUUGAAGUGUAACUGCUUACCCUAAUGCCCCGUUGAAAGCUGAUAAGCAACUCUGCUUCGGAUACAAUGUAACGCCUAUCUUAGGACCACCUGAAGUGCAUGAGCAUCAAAGGUGGGAGCAAGGCCGAGGCCUUGAACACGUCCAUGACUCCACCACUGCUAGUAAGUACAUUUCUGAAUCCACCUCCACCAACUCCAUCAGGGCUUUAAACCCCCUUCUGCUGGAGCUUUUCCCCCGAUCUUGUAACUGAGCCGAUGCCUUAUGGGGCUCCUGGGCACACGAGCCUCGCUGUGUCCUCCAUGGCUUGUUUUUAGGAAGGAAGCCUCAGCCUCCAUGACCUCCCCUAAGUUCCAAAGGGCAGGUUUACACAGAUGCAAGUCAGGGAAGGGAGGGGAAGCAGAGACUGGAGAGGAGGAGCCUUCAAGACGCAGUGGUGCAGGAGCGCCCGUCGUGGCUCUGUGGACUCAAAGCUGACUAGCAUCCAUGAGGACGCAGGUUUGAACCUUGGCCUCUCGCAGUGGGUUAAGCAUCUGACGUUGCCAUGAGCUGUGGUGUAGGUUGCAGAUGCAGCUCAAUCUGAUGUUGCUGCAGCUGUGGCGUAGGCCGGCAGCUGCAGCGCCAAUUCAACCCCGAGCCUGGGAGCUUCCAUAUGCUGCAGGGUCAGCCCUAAAAAGCCAAAAAAGAAAAAAAAAAAACCAAAAAAACAAAAAAACAAUGGUGCAGCUUUGGGGGCAGGGUCUUGGUCCCUCCUCACGGAAUAUGGAUAACAAUAUCUUUGAGUUCUUCUACAGAAGAAAACCCCCCAAGGAGUCAAAGAUGUUAAUGAAGCCUUCUUUAUUCCAGAAAGAAGACCUCUGAACACCAACUUUGAAAACAAUGCAAGCUUGCCUCUAUGCUGAUCCUUAUCUGCAGCCCUAUUUUUCACUCCCAAAACUAUAGAACCACCUCCCAGUCUCUCCUGGGGGGGGGGGGGCACAGUCUUUAAGGCAUGAGCCUGCUGUGACCCUCCUUGGCCUGGCAAAGCAAUAAAGCUAUUUUUUUCCCUCCUUCGCCCACAACUCUUGUCUCUGCAUUUCUGUUCGGCACCGAUGACAGAGGCUAAGUUCUGGCAGGAAUGUUAUUGAGGAUAUAGAAAUGGCUCUUAUUGUUAGUAUGGGAAAAGAAAGAAAGAAAUAAGCUGCAUACAGCACGUGACAUAAAUGCAUACUGAUGAAAGUGCCCAGGUGAUACUUGUGUGUAAUUUUAGCCAUACUUGUAUUUAUUUAAUUUUUUUUUAAUUGAUAAUCUGGUGAAUGAGACAGGGCGGCCUUUAAGAAGAUGCCAGGAUUUAGGAGAUACGUAUUUUGUACUUCAGUAUACUACGGCAUUUCUAGAUCCAAAAUUUUUUGUUAUUCCAGUGCACAGCAGACUAGAAUUGUCUUUUCUGGGUGCACGAUACAAGCUAAAAUCAGCAAAGGUCAGUGGGAUGUCAUGAAUUUCCGAGAGGGGUUAGAAGUCUAAAAUUAAUAAUUCCAUCACCAGUUAACCUGCCAACUAAAAAAUGUUGUUAGAUCCUGUGCAUGUGCAGCGUCGGAGGAUCGUAGGAUGUUUGUUCAUGACUGGAAUUCCUUGUCAAGCCACUCUGAGAACAUGUGAUUUUUGAGACCUUGCCCCGUAACAACCAAGCAAGAUGCCAGGCCCGUGUUACACAGAGUGAAAUUGGAUUGCCUGUCAAUUAGCAAGGCCAAGUUAGACUAGCACUGUGUAGCCUUACAUGGUCUCUGACUUAGAUGUGGGACACGAGUGACGUGAAGGGGGCCAGUCGGGAGACAGAUAAUGCAAAAACACUCGAGGUGGCUUUGCUUGAGACGACUGAAGAGCUAUUCCCAUACCAGGCAGGUGGGUGAUGGUUGAAAUAUGAAAUGCAUGGAAAUAAAAACAUCGCAUUAAAUCUCAUGGCUUUGUGUGACUCUCUUCUUUAAAAGCAAUUACUGUGGCAGUAGGACCGGUGGCAUCUAUGCAGCACCGGGACGUAGGUUCCAUCCCCGGCCCGGUGCAGGGGGUUAAAGGAUCUGGCGUUGCUGCAGCUGUGGUGUAGGAUCUGAUCCUGGGAUCUCCAUAUGCUGUAGGGCAGCCAAAAAUUAAAUACAUAAAUAUUUUUAAAAAACAAAAACAAAUUAUCAGGGACAAUUAUAAAUGAGGGAGGACAGAAUCGCCUAGACCAAAGCGGAAGAAAGCCUUUAAAGGGCACACUGCACUUAAAUUAAACCCAGAUCUGGGGACAUUGUGUAGAGAAGUGACCAGCAUUCCCUUGUCACAUGGAUUGGUGCCCACGAAUGAAGAGCAUGGAAGCUUCCUGAGGCCCGGCCUGCUCUUCUCGCUCUUUCUGCUGUUUCCUCUUGGAAUCCAGGCACGUGCGUGGCGUGCUCUUUUGCAUCGUGGCCACUCAGCAGAUUGGAUUCCGUGUUUAAGAAUCUGAUGGAGGUGCAGUGGGUUCCUGCCAUGGUGCAGGGGCUUAAGGACCUGGCAUUGCCGCAGCUGCAGCUGAGAUGCGAUCCCUGGCCCCGGGAACUUCUGUAUGUCACGGGUGCAGCUGAAAAAGGAAAAAAAAAAAAAGAAUCCAAUGGAAUCAUUUCAUAAGCUCUAAAACCAGAAGGUAUUUGAGCUGCCAUCCUUUUCAAAGUCAGUAAAGUGCUGUGUCGGGGAAGCAGCAGAGCUUUUCUCCUGUCCUUUUAAGUUACGGACUGGGCGCCCUCUCACAAAAGACAGAGUAACAAGAAAAAGGACACACAUUUAUGUGGUGUAAGCUCUAUGUGACAGGCAGCCUUCGCAGAGAUGAGGGCCUGAAGAAAUGGUUGAACCCGAGUAUUUUUACA